Molecule: ribosomal RNA, 1369 nt
Filed under: metagenome
Description: bacterial LSU rRNA
Rfam family: Bacterial large subunit ribosomal RNA
Source: RNAcentral
CCAUAGAGAGAUAUGUUCGAUCGAUCCCACACUGACUAGAAAAGCUUCUAGCGAGUUAAUUAAGUGACCGUACCGCAAACUGACACAGGUAGACGGGUAGAAUAUACUCAGGCGUUGAGAUAAUUAUCGUUAAGGAACUCGGCAAAAUGGCCCCGUAACUUCGGGAGAAGGGGUGCCCACGCUGUUAUUAAGAUUUAUCUUAAGAGGCAGAGGUGGGUUACAAUAAAUCGGCUCAACCGACUGUUUAACAAAAACACAGGGCUCUGCGAACUCGUAAGAGGAUGUAUAGAGUCUGACGCCUGCCCAGUGCUGGAAGGUUAACAGGAGGGGUUAGUUCUUCGGAACGAAGCUCUGAAUCGAAGCCCCAGUAAACGGCGGCCGUAACUAUAACGGUCCUAAGGUAGCGAAGUACCUUGUCGGGUAAGUUCCGACGCGCAUGAAUGGCGUAACGAGUUGAGCGCUGUCUUAACGAUACACUCAGUGAAUUUGUAGUGCAGGUGAAAAUGCCUGCUUCCCGCGACUGGACGGAAAGACCCCGUGCACCUUUACUAUAGCUUGACAUUGAUUUUUGGAUUAAUUUGUGUAGGAUAGGCGGGAGACUUUGAAGCCAAGGCGCUAGCUUUGGUGGAGUCAUCCUUGAAAUACCGCCCCUAUUGGUUUGAAAGUCUAACUUCGUCCCGUAAUCCGGGCGGAGAACAUUGUCUGGUGGGUAGUUUGACUGGGGUGGUCGCCUCCUAAAAAGUAACGGAGGCGUUCAAAGGUUCCCUCAUGACGAAUAGAAAUCGUCAGUAGAGCGCAAAAGCAGAAGGGAGCUUGACUGUGAGACAUACAGGUCGAACAGGUGCGAAAGCAGGAUUUAGUGAUCCAGUGGUUCCACAUGGAAGGGCCAUUGCUAAACGGAUAAAAGGUACGCCGGGGAUAACAGGCUGAUCUCCUCUAAGAGUCCAUAUCGACGAGGAGGUUUGGCACCUCGAUGUCGGCUCAUCACAUCCUGGGGCUGAAGAAGGUCCCAAGGGUCUGGCUGUUCGCCAGUUAAAGUGGUACGCGAGCUGGGUUCAGAACGUCGUAAGACAGUCCGGUUCUUAUCCGUCGUGGGCGUAGGGUACUUGAAGGAAGUUGUCCCUAGUACGAGAGGACCGGGAUGAGUCAACCUCUAGUGUUCCAGUUGUUCCCCAAGAGCAGCGCUGGGUAGCUACGUUGAUAAGAGAUAACCGCUGAAAGCAUCUAAGCGGGAAACUCGCCCUAAGAUGAGGUACCCCCUAAUUAAUUAGAUAAGAUCCCUUGAAGACUACAAGGUUGAUAGGUCGGGUGUGUAAGGACAGUAAUGUCUUCAGCUAACCGAUACUAAUAGAUCGAAUGUUUUAACUAC